UACGUAGGGUGCGAGCGUUAAUCGGAAUUACUGGGCGUAAAGCGUGCGCAGGCGGUUAUGCAAGACAGAUGUGAAAUCCCCGGGCUCAACCUGGGAACUGCAUUUGUGACUGCAUAGCCGGAGUGCGGCAGAGGGGGAUGGAAUUCCGCGUGUAGCAGUGAAAUGCGUAGAUAUGCGGAGGAACACCGAUGGCGAAGGCAAUCCCCUGGGCCUGCACUGACGCUCAUGCACGAAAGCGUGGGGAGCAAACAGG
This 253-nucleotide ribosomal RNA is filed under the name uncultured bacterium. Its description in RNAcentral is "partial 16S ribosomal RNA". It matches the Rfam family "Bacterial small subunit ribosomal RNA", at positions 524 to 776 of the family's 1533-position model. The record is from RNAcentral.